This 29-nucleotide non-coding RNA is filed under the name Mus musculus (house mouse). The record is from RNAcentral. Lineage: Eukaryota; Metazoa; Chordata; Mammalia; Rodentia; Muridae.
UGCUAGUAUUUGAAAAUAGGACCCAGAAA